Molecule: ribosomal RNA, 468 nt
Filed under: uncultured bacterium
Lineage: Bacteria
Description: partial 16S ribosomal RNA
Rfam family: Bacterial small subunit ribosomal RNA
Source: RNAcentral
GACGAACGCUGGCGGCGUGCUUAACACAUGCAAGUCGAACGGAAAGGCCCUGCUUUUGUGGGGUGCUCGAGUGGCGAACGGGUGAGUAACACGUGAGUAACCUGCCCUUGACUUUGGGAUAACUUCUGGGAACUGGGGCUAAUACCGGAUAGGAGCUCCUGCUGCAUGGUGGGGGUUGGAAAGUUUCGGCGGUUGGGGAUGGACUCGCGGCUUACCAGCUUGUUGGUGGGGUAGUGGCUUACCAAGGGUUUGACGGGUAGCCGGCCUGAGAGGGUGACCGGCCACAUUGGGCCUGAGAUACGGCCCAGACUCCUACGGGAGGCAGCAGUGGGGAAUAUUGCACAAUGGGCGGAAGCCUGAUGCAGCAACGCCGCGUGCGGGAUGACGGCCUUCGGGUUGUAAACCGCUUUCGCCUGUGACGAAGCGUGAGUGACGGUAAUGGGUAAAGAAGCACCGGCUAACUACGUG